This 321-nucleotide ribosomal RNA is filed under the name uncultured bacterium. RNAcentral describes it as "bacterial SSU rRNA". It matches the Rfam family "Bacterial small subunit ribosomal RNA", at positions 566 to 887 of the family's 1533-position model. The record is from RNAcentral.
GGCGCGUAGGCUGUGCUGUAAGUCAGGCGUGAAAGGCCCGGGCUCAACCUGGGAACUGCGUUUGAUACUGCGGCGCUGGAAUGCAGGAGAGGAUGGCGGAAUUCCCAGUGUAGAGGUGAAAUUCGUAGAUAUUGGGAAGAACACCGGUGGCGAAGGCGGCCAUCUGGCCUGCAAUUGACGCUGAGGCGCGAAAGCGUGGGGAGCAAACAGGAUUAGAUACCCUGGUAGUCCACGCUGUAAACGAUGAGUGCUAGACGUCGGGGAGCUUGCUCUUCGGUGUCGCCGCUAACGCAUUAAGCACUCCGCCUGGGGAGUACGGUA